GGGCGCUUGGCACAGUGGUAGCGCGCCUGCUUUGCAUACAAGUAUGACUGCAUGAGGUCGUGAGUUCAAACCUCACAGCGUCCA
Pholiota molesta is the source of this 84-nucleotide non-coding RNA. Lineage: Eukaryota; Fungi; Basidiomycota; Agaricomycetes; Agaricales; Strophariaceae. The record is from the annotation of a GenBank genome assembly.